Molecule: long non-coding RNA, 224 nt
Filed under: Homo sapiens (human)
Lineage: Eukaryota; Metazoa; Chordata; Mammalia; Primates; Hominidae
Description: HSALNT0127954
Source: RNAcentral
GAAAGUAAUUUUCCAAGGUGGCCAAAGACUGUUGCCUACCUCUGAAUUUUUAGCAUCUGACACUGCUUCUAAAUUACAUGAUGGUUUGGAGUACUGCUUCCUGCAAGGAGUUCAAAGCAAUGCUGGCUUCUGGAUUUGGAUUAUGAGCAAAUGAAUUGUUCUUAGCUUCCAACAAAGAUGUUCUGCAGCAGGGCUGCUCAGAACAAAACUGUGCUGACUGCAUU